UACGAACCGUCCAAACGUUAUUCGGAUUCAUUGGGCUUAAAGGGUACGUAGGCGGCGCUAUCAGUCGGGUGUGAAAGCCCUCGGCUCAACCGAGGAACUGCGCCCGAUACUGUAGUGCUUGAGGGAGACAGAGGUAAGCGGAACUGAUGGUGGAGCGGUGAAAUGCGUUGAUAUCAUCAGGAACACCGGUGGCGAAGGCGGCUUUCUGGGUCUUACCUGACGCUGAGGAACGAAAGCCAGGGGAGCGAACGGG
This 253-nucleotide ribosomal RNA is filed under the name uncultured bacterium. RNAcentral describes it as "partial 16S ribosomal RNA". It matches the Rfam family "Bacterial small subunit ribosomal RNA", at positions 524 to 776 of the family's 1533-position model. The record is from RNAcentral.